AGAUUGAACGCCUGGCGGCAGGCCUAACACAUGCAAGUCGAGCGGCAGCACGGGUACUUGUACCUGGUGGCGAGCGGCGGACGGGUGAGUAAUGCCUAGGAAUCUGCCUGGUAGUGGGGGAUAACGCUCGGAAACGGACGCUAAUACCGCAUACGUCCUACGGGAGAAAGCAGGGGACCUUCGGGCCUUGCGCUAUCAGAUGAGCCUAGGUCGGAUUAGCUAGUUGGUGAGGUAAUGGCUC
RNAcentral lists this ribosomal RNA (241 nucleotides) under uncultured soil bacterium. RNAcentral describes it as "partial 16S ribosomal RNA". It matches the Rfam family "Bacterial small subunit ribosomal RNA", at positions 26 to 266 of the family's 1533-position model. The record is from RNAcentral.